This 65-nucleotide transfer RNA is filed under the name Gemmatimonadota bacterium. RNAcentral describes it as "tRNA-Ser". The record is from RNAcentral. Lineage: Bacteria; Pseudomonadati; Gemmatimonadota.
GGACUGAGUCGGUAGAAACUACGCUCACCUCGUAGCGGUCGCUGGUUCGAGUCCAGCAGCGACCA